GCGGCAUGAAACAGAGAAAGAGAAAUAUGGAUAAAGCUUCGUUCGUACUUUUCUAUAUAGGUCAUGGCUACCUCUUUUCGAGCACAAUGAACAAAACGAUACGGGAAUGUGACAAAGGAAAGAUACGAUGAGAAAAAUCCUAAACCUAUAUAUAUAUUCAUAUAUACGUAUGUAACAAUAUAUUAUACGUGUCUCUACGUCGGAUCUUUGAAGUCAAACAAAAUUACUCUUUCGAAGGAAGUUGAUGGAAUCGAUGGGCCAAGAAGACACGCGCGCACCUGACGUAUCGAUUGAGUUCAAAGUAA
Molecule: long non-coding RNA, 305 nt
Filed under: Polistes fuscatus (common paper wasp)
Lineage: Eukaryota; Metazoa; Arthropoda; Insecta; Hymenoptera; Vespidae
Description: uncharacterized LOC122516535
Source: RNAcentral